CACGUAGGGGUGCGAGCGUUGUCCGGAAUUAUUGGGCGUAAAGAGCUCGUAGGCGGUGUGUCGCGUCGGCCGUGAAAACCUGCAGCUUAACUGUGGGCUUGCGGUCGAUACGGGCAUCACUGGAGUUCGGCAGGGGAGACUGGAAUUCCUGGUGUAGCGGUGAAAUGCGCAGAUAUCAGGAGGAACACCGGUGGCGAAGGCGGGUCUCUGGGCCGAUACUGACGUGGAGGAGCGAAAGCGUGGGGAGCGAACAGG
Molecule: ribosomal RNA, 255 nt
Filed under: uncultured bacterium
Lineage: Bacteria
Description: partial 16S ribosomal RNA
Rfam family: Bacterial small subunit ribosomal RNA
Source: RNAcentral